UAUUGCACAAUGGGGGGAACCCUGAUGCAGCGACGCCGCGUGGGCGAUGGAGUGCUUCGGCAUGUAAAGCCCUAUCAGCAGGGAAGAAAAUGACGGUACCUGACUAAGAAGCCCCGGCUAAAUACGUGCCAGCAGCCGCGGUAAUACGUAGGGGGCAAGCGUUAUCCGGAUUUACUGGGUGUAAAGGGAGCGUAGACGGUAUGGCAAGUCUGAUGUGAAAACCCGGGGCUCAACCCCGGGAGUGCAUUUGAAACUGUCCAGCUGGAGUGCAGGAGAGGUAAGCGGAAUUCCUAGUGUAGCGGUGAAAUGCAUAGAUAUUAGGAGGAACACCAGUGGCGAAGGCGGCUUACUGGACUGUAACUGACACUGAGGCUCGAAAGCGUGGGGAGCAAACAGG
Molecule: ribosomal RNA, 397 nt
Filed under: uncultured bacterium
Lineage: Bacteria
Description: bacterial SSU rRNA
Rfam family: Bacterial small subunit ribosomal RNA
Source: RNAcentral